This is a long non-coding RNA of Anguilla anguilla (European eel), 1385 nucleotides long. RefSeq lists it as uncharacterized. Lineage: Eukaryota; Metazoa; Chordata; Actinopteri; Anguilliformes; Anguillidae. The transcript is spliced from 2 exons. The record is from RefSeq and is a predicted model, not a curated record.
UCCACUUUACUUUGUUUACACAGUGUAAACUGAAGCGAUGUGAGAUAAUGCGCUUAAGAUGUCCUUGAGUAAGUUAUAUGGUCAGUCCACCAGAUGGUGCCAGUUGCUAAUUAAAAUGCAGUUAUUAUCACAAGUAAACAAAAAUCCCACACACCGUUUUUAUUGUGUCAUCGUUUGACCCGAUAUUUUUCGGAUUUAUGCUUAUCUGAGUGCUGUGCUUAAAGUGAUCGUCCCAGCACAGGGACAGUUGACAGAUUUGUAUUUGUUACGACUCGGUUAAAAAUAGGAACAAACUGGCCUCAGUAGUUCUGUGACACAGAAGACCUUAUGUUCUGUUAUCUCAAGACCACCCAUUCAUAAUAUUGGUUGGACAAACAGAACAUCUUAUGGCCAUAAUAUUUAGCAGAUGGGAGUCACUCUGUAUCCCACAUCAAAUGUGAUCCUUCAUUGUGCUGGUCAGUGGUCAUUUAUCUGGACCUAUUAACCACCUGGCCGUGGUAUGUUUUGGCAGCCUUGCCGGAGUCUUGAGUUACAUUUACCUUCCUUUGAAACCACACACAAACCCAGUGACUAUCUUCACACUAACGCCGGCGCACGGACGAGGAGGAGGCGACUGUCAGUGGGGAGGACGGGAAGAAACAACAAACGGCACUUGUUAUUUCUCCCCUGACUGAAGGCGGAGAGCACGCUGACAGACUGCUGCUUACGUGCUGAAAUCAGAAAGAUUUGUUUCUGCUUCAGUCGGUGAAAACAACGGCAGCAGAAGCCUCUCUCCCCUGCACCAUGUGACCCGGGACUUCCUACUGUGGCUGGAAUUUUUUCGAGGGGUGGAGGGCGGCGAAGACCCGACCGAGGCUUUAAAUCAAUGCAGGCAGGCUUCGGGCCUUGGGAUUCUUUCCCUGUUUACUCAACCUCAAAUUGAUUUCCACAGGUCCGUCGAGGCAGCGUCGGUGUAUUUUACGCUCCUUGAGGGCCCUCUAAGAAUUAUAGAAGGGCUUUUUGGGGCCAGGUGGCGAAGCCCCUGACAUCUGCACCGUGUUCUUCAGCAAAAUGGGAGCGGUGGUGCAGUGCCGUAUUUCAUCCUGAGACGCAGGGAGGCUCACCAGAGGACGCCACCCGGAUUUGGAAGAAGGGGGACCUCAACUAAGUACAGGGAGGUGGGAUCAGCACCCAAAAAAACGCAGUCCUAACCUCACCCUCAGAGGAUCCGUGUUACUGAUGUAAUUGAUUUUCCAAGUGAUGGAUUUUCAAUUUUAAUUUGGCAGUGACUGUGGAUGUGGGGUUUAGGCAUAUUAUUAUUAGUGUAUUACGACUGUAAGUAUGAUUGCUGAUAUUUGGUCCAGCAAGCCAGAAAACAUAAAUCCAGUAUGACAGCAUAUUAUUGA